RNAcentral lists this unclassified non-coding RNA (1350 nucleotides) under uncultured Neocallimastigales. RNAcentral's name for it is "partial contains internal transcribed spacer 1, 5.8S ribosomal RNA, internal transcribed spacer 2, and large subunit ribosomal RNA". The stretch from base 589 to 1350 matches the Rfam family "Eukaryotic large subunit ribosomal RNA", at positions 1 to 618 of the family's 3401-position model. The record is from RNAcentral. Lineage: Eukaryota; Fungi; Neocallimastigomycota; Neocallimastigomycetes; Neocallimastigales.
AAAAUAAUCCUACCCUUGUGGAUUUUGUUUGUUGAAUAAUUUUUUUUUUAAAAAUUAUUGGAGUCUUUCCCUUUAGAGUUUGCUUUUGAGUUUGUAAAAGAAUUCGAAAACAUCUAAUGGGGAUGGUCAAUAAUUUUUUUUGAAAAAAGACAUUUUUUUAAAAUUAAACUUUUUGUAUUCAUUUGGUCUAAAAAUUAUUUUAUAAUAUAAAAACAACUUUUGACAAUGGAUCUCUUGGUUCUCGCAACGAUGAAGAACGCAGCAAAAUGCGAUAAGUAGUGUGAAUUGCAGAAUACGUGAAUCAUCGAAUCUUUGAACGCAUAUUGCACUUUUUUAGUUUACUAAAAAAGUAUGUCUGUUUGAGUAUCAGUAAAAUAUUCUCAUAAAAAUCAUUGUAUUUUUAUGGUUAUGAGUGUUUUACAACGAUACAGUUGUUUCACUUUAAAUUUUUUUUUAAUAUUGAAAUUUUUCUAAUUUUAAUAAUUAAAAUUGGAUAAAAUUUUCCCGUCAAAAGGAAUAACCUAAACAAUUUUAAAUGAUUAAUUUAGCAAAAUUUUCGAAAAAAGGAAAAUUUUUAUUAAAAUAACUUGAUCUCAAAUCAGAUAAGAGUACCCGCUGAACUUAAGCAUAUCAAUAAGCGGAGGAAAAGAAACUAACAAGGAUUCCCUUAGUAACGGCGAGUGAAGCGGGAAGAGCUCAAAUUUGAAAUCUUCAAGGUUUUACCUUGACGAAUUGUAGUUUAAAGAAGUGUUUUCUGCUGAAGUUUUGGUAAAAGUUCUUUGGAAUAGGACAUCAUAGAGGGUGAGAAUCCCGUAUUUGACCAUUAUUUUCAGCUUUGUGAUACACUUUCAAAGAGUCGGAUUGUUCGGGAAUGCAGUCCAAAAUGGGUGGUAAAUUUCAUCUAAAGCUAAAUAUCGGCGAGAGACCGAUAGCGAACAAGUACCGUGAGGGAAAGAUGAAAAGAACUUUGAAAAGAGAGUUAAACAGUACGUGAAAUUGUCAAAAGGGAAGCGUUUGACACCAGUGCUGUUUUCUCGAAAUCAAUUAAAAAUGGCUCGAUUUUGUAUUGCUGAGACCUUAAAAGCUCACUGUACAUUUUUCGUGUCUUUUUUAAUGCACUUUUCGUUAACAAGUCAACAUCAGUUUCUUUUGUUGUAAAAGGGUCAUUGGAAGGUGGCUUUCUUUUCGGAGAAAGUGUUUAUAGCCUUUGGCCUCUGCAAUCGAGAGACUGAGGUCUGCAGCGUAGACUCUUCGGGGUUAGAUACAUUUGUGCUAAGUUAUAGCUUUUUAUAGACAACUUGUUGACUAUAAUUAGUCUUGUAGCUUACUCGCUUAUGCUAUUUUACCUAC